GAUGAACGCUGGCGGCGUGCCUAAUACAUGCAAGUAGAACGCUGAAGGAAGGAGCUUGCUCUUUCCGGAUGAGUUGCGAACGGGUGAGUAACGCGUAGGUAACCUGCCUGGUAGCGGGGGAUAACUAUUGGAAACGAUAGCUAAUACCGCAUAACAGUAGAUGUUGCACGAUAUCUACUUAAAAGGUGCAAUUGCACCACUACCAGAUGGACCUGCGUUGUAUUAGCUAGUUGGUGAGGUAACGGCUCACCAAGGCGACGAUACAUAGCCGACCUGAGAGGGUGAUCGGCCACACUGGGACUGAGACACGGCCCAGACUCCUACGGGAGGCAGCAGUAGGGAAUCUUCGGCAAUGGACGGAAGUCUGACCGAGCAACGCCGCGUGAGUGAAGAAGGUUUUCGGAUCGUAAAGCUCUGUUGUAAGAGAAGAACGAGUGUGAGAGUGGAAAGUUCACACUGUGACGGUAUCUUACCAGAAAGGGACGGCUAACUACGUG
RNAcentral lists this ribosomal RNA (497 nucleotides) under uncultured bacterium. Its description in RNAcentral is "partial 16S ribosomal RNA". It matches the Rfam family "Bacterial small subunit ribosomal RNA", at positions 28 to 507 of the family's 1533-position model. The record is from RNAcentral.